Molecule: non-coding RNA, 192 nt
Filed under: Gammaproteobacteria bacterium
Lineage: Bacteria; Pseudomonadati; Pseudomonadota; Gammaproteobacteria
Description: 6S RNA
Rfam family: 6S / SsrS RNA
About the family: E. coli 6S RNA was the first non coding RNA to be sequenced, but its function was unknown until recently. It consists of 184 nucleotides that fold into an extended hairpin structure with a large single-stranded internal bulge. The 6S RNA specifically associates with RNA polymerase holoenzyme containing the sigma70 specificity factor.
Source: RNAcentral
GCCCUACUGCGGUGUACGUUAUUGGCUGGGUAAUAUUCCUUGAGCCUAACUAUUUACCCCGGGGUAUGGUUGUAGCCGGUUGUUGAGCAUGACCGCUUUAGAAAUGCGGGAAGCCUGAUGCCGAACAACUCUCCCCACCUGAACCCCCUGGUUCAAGGUAGCUAAGGCCAAAACGGCACAUGUGGUGGGCAC